GAUGAACGCUAGCGAUAGGCUUAACACAUGCAAGUCGAGGGGCAGCAUGGUCUUAGCUUGCUAAGACUGAUGGCGACCGGCGCACGGGUGCGUACGCGUAUGCAACUUGCCUCACAGAGGGGGACAACCCGUCGAAAGACGGACUAAUACCGCGUACACUCCAUCUUGGGCAUCCAAGGUAGAGGAAAUGAAAUUCGCUGUGAGAUAGGCAUGCGUCCCAUUAGCUAGUUGGUGAGGUAACGGCUCACCAAGGCGACGAUGGGUAGGGGAACUGAGAGGUUGAACCCCCACACUGGUACUGAGACACGGACCAGACUCCUACGGGAGGCAGCAGUGAGGAAUAUUGGUCAAUGGGCGAGAGCCUGAACCAGCCAAGUCGCGUGAAGGAUGACUGUCUUAUGGAUUGUAAACUUCUUUUAUACGGGAAUAACAAGAGUCACGUGUGACUCCCUGCAUGUACCGUAUGAAUAAGCAUCGGCUAACUCCGUG
This 489-nucleotide ribosomal RNA is filed under the name uncultured bacterium. RNAcentral's name for it is "partial 16S ribosomal RNA". It matches the Rfam family "Bacterial small subunit ribosomal RNA", at positions 28 to 507 of the family's 1533-position model. The record is from RNAcentral.